UACGGGAGGCAGCAGUCGGGAAUAUUGCGCAAUGGAGGAAACUCUGACGCAGUGACGCCGCGUAUAGGAAGAAGGUCUUCGGAUUGUAAACUAUUGUCGUUAGGGAAGAAAAAAAUGACAGUACCUAAGGAGGAAGCUCCGGCUAACUACGUGCCAGCAGCCGCGGUAAU
RNAcentral lists this ribosomal RNA (170 nucleotides) under uncultured rumen bacterium. RNAcentral describes it as "partial 16S ribosomal RNA". It matches the Rfam family "Bacterial small subunit ribosomal RNA", at positions 340 to 524 of the family's 1533-position model. The record is from RNAcentral.